Molecule: long non-coding RNA, 651 nt
Filed under: Ananas comosus (pineapple)
Lineage: Eukaryota; Viridiplantae; Streptophyta; Magnoliopsida; Poales; Bromeliaceae
Description: long non-coding RNA (ACOM_LNC039637)
Source: RNAcentral
AAUUAAUAAUUAGACUUAUAAAACUAUAUAAAAAUAUUAAAAAAUAAAAUUUAUUAUAAAAAUAUUUUAGAUCCGCAGCAUCGCGCGGGUAUUUUACUAGUAAUACAUUAAUGGGCUCGUUUGUCAUGUGUUACGAAUAAUAAAGAUAAUAAUAUCUUAGAAAAUAAAAAGGGAAAACUUCAAAAACCCCCUGUGGUUUCAUAUUUUUUUUUAUUUUAGUACUUUGUAGUUUAAAGUGUGUCAAAUUGGUACCAUGUGGUUUCUCACUUUAUCACUUUAGUAUCCUGUGGUUUAAAGUGUAUCAAGUUAGUAUUCCGUGGUUUUAUUUUUGUAUCAAGUUAGUACCCUGUAGUUUUAUUUUUGUAUCAAGUUAGUACCCUGUGGAUUUUAAACCACAUGGUACUAAAGUGAUAAAGUGCGAAACCAUAGGGUACUAAAGUGAUAAAGUGUGAAACUAUAGGGUACUAACUUGAUACACUUUAAACCACAGAGUACUAAAGUGAAAAAGUACAAAACCACAGCGUACUAACUUGAUACACUUUAAACCAUAGGGUACUAAAGUAAGAAAAAAUGAAACGACAAGGAGGGUAUUUGAAGUUUUCCCAAAAUAAAAUUAUAUAAAAAAUGCUAACUAUUUUAUACUAGUAAUUU